GAUGAACGCUGGCGGCGUGCCUAAUACAUGCAAGUAGAACGCUGAAGGAAGGAGCUUGCUCUUUCCGGAUGAGUUGCGAACGGGUGAGUAACGCGUAGGUAACCUGCCUGGUAGCGGGGGAUAACUAUUGGAAACGAUAGCUAAUACCGCAUAACAGUAGAUGUUGCAUGAUAUCUACUUAAAAGGUGCAAUUGCACCACUACCAGAUGGACCUGCGUUGUAUUAGCUAGUUGGUGAGGUAACGGCUCACCAAGGCGACGAUACAUAGCCGACCUGAGAGGGUGGUCGGCCACACUGGGACUGAGACACGGCCCAGACUCCCACGGGAGGCAGCAGUAGGGAAUCUUCGGCAAUGGGCGGAAGUCUGACCGAGCAACGCCGCGUGAGUGAAGAAGGUUUUCGGAUCGUAAAGCUCUGUUGUAAGGGAAGAAAGAGUGUGAGAGUGGAAAGUUCACACUGUGACGGUAUCUUACCAGAAAGCGACGGCUAACUACGUG
Molecule: ribosomal RNA, 497 nt
Filed under: uncultured bacterium
Lineage: Bacteria
Description: partial 16S ribosomal RNA
Rfam family: Bacterial small subunit ribosomal RNA
Source: RNAcentral